GAUAAGGGUAAGUGUUAGGGUACGGGUUAGUGUUAGUGUAUAUGUUAGGAAUAGGGUACGGGUUAGGGUAAGGCUUAGGGUUAGGGUUAGGGUUAGGGAACGGGUACAGUUUAGGGUACAGGUAAGGUACGACAACGGUUUAGGGUUAGCGUACGUGUUAGGGUAUGGGUUAGUGUUAGUGUACGGGUUAGG
Molecule: long non-coding RNA, 192 nt
Organism: Orcinus orca (killer whale)
Lineage: Eukaryota; Metazoa; Chordata; Mammalia; Artiodactyla; Delphinidae
Exons: 3
Source: RefSeq, a predicted model, not a curated record